UAGUAUUCAAUUGUCAGAGGUGAAAUUCUUGGAUUUAUUGAGGACUAACUACUGCGAAAGCAUUUGCCAAGGAUGUUUUCAUUAUUCAAGAACGAAAGUUAGGGGAUCGAAGACGAUCAGAUACCGUCGUAGUCUUAGCCAUAAACUAUGCCGACUAGGGAUCGGAUGAUGUUAAUUUUUUAAUGACUCA
RNAcentral lists this ribosomal RNA (190 nucleotides) under uncultured Glomeromycotina. RNAcentral describes it as "partial 18S ribosomal RNA". It matches the Rfam family "Eukaryotic small subunit ribosomal RNA", at positions 892 to 1078 of the family's 1831-position model. Lineage: Eukaryota; Fungi; Glomeromycota. The record is from RNAcentral.